This 25-nucleotide ribosomal RNA is filed under the name Teratosphaeria nubilosa. Its description in RNAcentral is "partial 18S ribosomal RNA". Lineage: Eukaryota; Fungi; Ascomycota; Dothideomycetes; Mycosphaerellales; Teratosphaeriaceae. The record is from RNAcentral.
AGUCGUAAAAUGUCUCCGUAGGUGA